CCCUGUGAUGGCCACAAGGGCUCAGCAGAGGGACCCCGCUCCCUCAAGCCCCUCCCAGGUCAGAAGGAAAGAAUCCACAGGGUCCCUUCCUUUCCCACCGCGCAGUCCACUCACUUGUUGAUCAGCUCCUUUGCCUGCUGCAGGGGAGAAAAGGAGGGCCAAGGCCCGCCUCCCUCCCUCUCCGCCAACCUGGAGGUAGAGAGCCAUCUGCGGCUCCUCCAUGGACUGGAUGGCGGACUCCACCAGCUUUGAGGAGCCCUCCAAGUGGUCUCCGUACUGGCGGAUGAGGCCCCGCACGCGCUGCAACUUCUCCUCCUGCUCCCGGGCCAGUGCUUGAAGCAGUUCGCCCUUGCGCUCCUCCAAAACCGCGCACAGGGUCUCGAACCUCUGGUUUAACAGUUGCUUCUGUCUGCGGCUGUUGUCCUGAAAGACCACAGCAGUAUGAUCUCGCCUACGCAUGCCCAGAGCUCGAGAGCACGAAAUUUUAGUCCUCGCCCCACUUUAAAAAAAGCCGAGAAGGAAAGUGACCUGGCUAGGGUCACACCCUGAGUUGGGGACACAGAACCCAGCUCAGAUGUUUUCAGUUCACAGUGAUGACAAGAAUGACAAAGAAUUUCAAAGUUGUUUCCCUGCUGGCCCUGGCUCUGCCUUGCACUAAUUCCCACUUCCUUGUUAAGAAAAUUAAAUCAGUGGCUACUGUGUGACUACCA
Long non-coding RNA from Mus musculus (house mouse), 710 nucleotides. RefSeq annotates it as predicted gene 15469. The transcript is spliced from 2 exons. The record is from RefSeq and is a predicted model, not a curated record. Lineage: Eukaryota; Metazoa; Chordata; Mammalia; Rodentia; Muridae.